This 1165-nucleotide long non-coding RNA is filed under the name Brassica rapa (field mustard). Its description in RNAcentral is "long non-coding RNA (BRAP_LNC008385)". The record is from RNAcentral. Lineage: Eukaryota; Viridiplantae; Streptophyta; Magnoliopsida; Brassicales; Brassicaceae.
UUGAUGGAUCGAUCAUCAUCAUAAGACUCUUCUCGGAUUUCUAGGUCGGACCGGCUGUUCCUCCUUGGAUGGUCAUCUGGUUCUGGUUCGUGGCUGACUUGGAUGGCCCUGAAGUUCAUCUAGCCUCUGAUGGAUUGCCUCCAAACCUGUAUUCAACAAGUUAGACAUAGAAUCAUUGAGAGCACACAUUUGCAAGUUAGAUAAUCCGGCAUGUGAAUUUCCGGGUCGGUUUCUUUCAUCUUCACUAUCCAUGACUACCUGAAAACUUAAACAAGGUAAAGUUAGAUUAAAAACCUCACACACUCAGGUGUUUAUCCUUGCCCACACACGUGUUUCACUCAAUUUGGUAGUCACACAAGAGAGUUUCCCUCAAAGUUCUAAGAGAACAAACUAGAUAACCAAAAAUGAGAAUCCCAAGUGAAACACCCAAGAGACAAGAUAGAAAGAUAAGAGAUUUAACAAGGGGAAUCUGUAUUAACCACCUCCAAGGCCGGGUUUCUCCUCCGCCAGCAGGCUUACUCUUCCACCACCAAACCACAAUUGAAAACUUUUGAUAUAUUUUCUUUCUUUUUCUUUUUUUUUUUGAUUAGAUCUUUCUUUCGUUUAUUUUAAUAUAUAUGGAUGGUAAAGCGGGGCCCGGAUUCAAAGAUAGAUAGAAGAAGAAUUUCUUUUUUUUUCUGAAGAAAAUGAUAGAUGAGAAAGAUGGAAUGAAAAGAGAUACCGGAAGAGUGGCUCUGAUACCACUUGAAGAACCCUAAGGAACGAACACUCAACCGGAUCUGAUGAUAUGAACUCGAUCUGAAGAGAUAGAGAACUGAUGGAUUGUUUAGUGACACAAAGGGAUGCGGAAGACCCAAUGAUACUACUAGAACUCUCAAUGGCCGCUUGAUUUGACACACAAGUCCGGCUCAAAGAAAAGGGAUUCACUUGGAGAUAGCCUCACCAAGGGAACAAGAAUGUUCUAAUCAAAGAACAAAGAAAGAAAUCUCAAAAUGAAUAAGGAAAAUCGAUUAUCUUAUUUCAAGGAUGCGUUCUCUUACUUAUACAACUUGUAGUCAAAGAUAAUAAAUAAAAAUGUAUGAAAAAGAGACAUAGAAAAUAGAUAGAAGACCAGAUCUAGUCAAAGCACAGAAAAUAAUGUUGACUGGUCGAUUUGAACUCUUCG